UAUAAAGCUUUGUCAGUAGAGGGCGCCAGAGGGACACUGUGGAGGAAGGGACCUCUUUCUGGUCCACAGGGCUCUGUUUUGCAUUUUCUCGUUCCUAUUGCAUCUUCUCUUAGGGUAUAAACGCGGGGGGAAAUCCACUGGAGCUUUGCCCCAGGUGUGCUCCCAGAAUGCAUGGUCCCUUGGCCACCUCGUAGCCCAUCCUGAGCCCAGUGCCCAUCUUGCUGUGGUCCAGCCCACACCUCCACCUGCAAGUGCAUGCCACUAUCUCCUAUGCCCAGAGAGGUGUUUCCUGCCUGCCAGCCUGCCCUGCAUCUACGAACCAGCACUUGUGGGACACUGCACCUUUUCUGCCUCUCUGGGACCCUGCAUCUUCUCUGCCAUCCAGGGAGCUGCAGCCACAGACAUCUAGCAAGGUCAGGACCCCAGCCUCGGGGGCGGGCCCUUCCAAGCUUGUCUUCUUCAGUGCUAGGGUGCUGUUCUGAGUUUUCCUGGUGUCGUUUUAGCCACUCCUCUAUCAUAGUUUAAUAAUUAUGUAUAGGAAACGUCCCCUAUUCGGAUCACUGUGUGGUUUCUGAGUCUUGAUUGAACUCUGAUGGACAGGUCCCCAAGAAGUCCCCUCAGGCACUCUGGAGAGAAUGUGGGCUCCCUAAUCCAAAGAGCGGGUGUGGGUCUGGCUCACUCACUGUGUGUCUAACGUGUGGCUGAGGCCACAUGACUGCACUUCCCUGGGCUCAGUUUGCUCACCCAGGAAAUGAAUGGAAAACUUCCAUCUCCAAUGGAUGCUAAGACUGUGAAAUGAGAUCAUGCAAAUGAAGCUCAGAGCAUCGGGCGAGGUACCUGCUGGUGUUCCAGAUGGCAGAACUGCACCUUUCAGGCAAAAAAUGUGAAAAGAGAGACUGGCCAAGCCUCGCAGCCCACAUCUCUCUCCGGUGCUGGAUGGUUCCUGCUCUUGAACACUGGACUCCAAGUUCUUCAGUUUUGAGGCUUGGACUAGCUUUCCUUGCUCCUCAAGCUCCAGCCCGCCUAUUGUGGGACCUUGUGAUCAUCCUACACUGAUGACUUCAUGGGGAGUUCCCUAUGAUCGAUUGAUAGAGGAAGACAAGACUAGGGCCUGGAUCACAGAUGGUUCUGCAUGACAUGCAGGUACCACCCAAAAGUGGACAGCUGCAGCACUUCAGCCCUUUCUAUGACAUCCUUGAAGGACAGCGGUGAACGGCAAUCUUCCCUGUGGGCAGCAUUCCAAGCAGUACACCUGGUUGUAGACUUUGCAUGGAAUGAGAAACAGCCAAAUUUGUAAUUAUAUAGAUUCAUGGGCUGUAGCCAAUGGUUUUGCUGGAUGGUCAGGGACUUAGAAGCAUGUUUGGAAAAUUGGUGAUAAAGAAAUUUGAGGAAGAGGUAUGUGCAGGGACUUCUCUAAAUGGUCAAAAACCAUGAAGAUACUUGUAUCCCAUGGGAGUGCUCAUCAGUGGGUAACCUCAGUAGAGGAGGACUUUAAUAAUCAAGUGGAUAGGAUGACCCGUUCUGUGGACGUCACUCAGUCUCUUUCCCCAGCCACUCCUGUCAUCGCCCAAUGGGCCCAUGAACAAAGUGGCCAGGGUGGCAGGGAUGGAGGUUAUGCCUGGGCUCAACAACAUGAACCUGCACCCACCAAGGCUGAUCUGGCUAUGGCCACUGCUGAGUGCCAAUUUACCAGGAACAGAGACCAACACUGAGCCCUCGAUAUGGCACCAUUCCUCAGGGUGGUCAGCCAGCUACCAGGUGGCAGGUCGAUUAUACUGGACCUCUUCCAAUGUGGAAAGGUCAGAGGUUCGUCCUCCUUGGAAUAAAUACUUACUCUGGAUAUGGGUUUGCCUAUUCUUCAGGCAAUGCUUCUGCCAAGACUACCAUCUGUGGACUCAUGGAAUACCUUGUCCACCAUCACUGUAUUCCACACAGCAUUGCCUCUGCCAAGGCACUCACUUUACAGCUAAAGCGGUGUGGCAGCGGGCCCAUGAUCAUGGAAUUUCCUGGUCUUACCAUGUUCCCCAUCAUCCUGAAGCAGCUGGAUUGACAGAACGGUGGAAUGGCCUUUUGAAGUCAGAACUACAAUGCCAAUAGGUGACAAUACUUUGCAGAGCUGGGGCAAAGUUCUCCAGAAGGCCGUGUAUGCUCUGAAUCAGUGUCCAAUAUAUGGUACUGUUUCUCCCAUGAGUUCAGGAAUCAAGGGGUGGAAGUGGCACCACUCGCCAUCACCCCUAAUGAUUCACUAGCAAUAUUUGUGCUUCCUGUUCCGGCGACAUUACAUUCUGCUGGCUUAGAGGUCUUGGUUCCAGAGGGAGGGAUGCUGCCCACAGGAUACACAAUAACAAUCCCAUUAAACUGGAGGGUAAGAUUGCCACCUGGACGCUUUGGGCUUCUUCUACCUUUAAGUCAAUCGGCUAAGAAGGGCGUUCCAGUGUUGGCGGAGGUGAUGGACCCUGACUAUCAAGACGAAAUCAGCGUACUACUCCAUAGCGGAGGUAAGGAAAAGAAUGCGUGGAAUACAGGAGAGCCAUGGCAGCGUCUCUUAGUAUUACCAUGCCCUCUGGUUAAGGUCAAUGGGAAACUGCAACAGCCCAAUCAGUGUGGGACUGCAAAUGGUCCAGACCCCUCAGGAAUUAAGGUUGGGGUCACUCCACCAAGAAAAAGACCACGACCUGCUGAGGUGCUCUCUGAAGGCAAAGGGAGUAUGGAAUGGGCAGUAGAAGAAGGUAGCCAUCGAUGCCAGCCACGUGACCAGCUGCAGAAACAAGGAGCGUAACUCUCAUGAAUAUUUCCUCCUUCUUUUGUUAAAAACAUAUUUGCGCAUAUAUACAUUUGUCCUAAGAAAAUAUCUUCAUUUUAUUUCCUUUUCCUUUAUCACAUGACAUAUCGUAUUGGCAUUUAAGUAUCGUUAACUUUAUAUGAUGGUAUUUGGGCUGGGGACUGGUGCAUUUCUGAUUGUACAAAGGACAGUUGUAUUAUUUUAGGAGAAAUUAUAACAUUGUCUUUAUUCGAAGAUGAUGUAUAAUCUCAGGAGAGGUGUCUGGGUUGAACUUGACAAGGGCUGGACUCGUGAUGGUUAAUACUGGGUGUCACCUUGAUUGGAUUGAAGAAUGAAAAGCAUCGAUCCUGGGUGUGUCUGUGAGGGUGUUGCCGAAGGAGAUGAACAUUUGAGUCAGUGGGCUGGGAAAGGCAGACCUUCCCUCAAUCUGGUGGGCACCAGCUAAUCAGCUGCCAGUGAACAUAAAGCAGGAAGGAAAAUGUGAAAAGGCAAGACUGGCCGAGCCUCCCAGCCCACAUCGUUCUCCCUUGCUGGAUGCUUCCUGUCUUCAAACAUCAGACUUCAAGUUCUUCAGUUUUGAGAUUCAAACUGGCUCUCCUUGCUCCUCAAGCUUGCAGACAACCUACUGGGGGACCUUGUGAUCGUGUGAGUUAAUACUUAAUAAACUCCCCUUAUAUAUGUAUCUUAUUAGUUCUGUCACCCUAGAGGUUCUUGACUAACACGUCCUGGGACCCCGCAGGCUCUGGGUUCUGAGAUGCCCCCUCGACUGUGCUGGGAGCUGCCUCUGUCAUUGUGUCUGUGCGGUUACAAUAGCGGCCACCUUGUCUCAGGGCGGGGAAGUGGAAAACAGGCCAGAGGGUGAUGAGGCUGCACGUUCUCAUCUGUCCCCUGAGCUCCUGGCCGCACAAGCGUCUCCCCACACUAAGGCCGUGGGCUGCUCUCUGGGCCUUGAGCCAAAGGCCUGUCCUGACAUGGUCCAGGGUGGGUGGGGGGCUCCCCUCCUUCCAAGUCUGGCCAGAGACAGCCAGGGAAGCCACUUGGAGAGAGGUCUGGUGGGCCAGGCCCUAGGGAUGUAGGUAGCGGAUUGGUGGGUGCCCUUGGCCUGGUCCUGAGAGGCUCCCCCUCCCUUCCACACUCAGGCCUCUGCACCCAGGGAUGUGGAGGAUUCACCUGCCAGUCACCCUGUUCCUCUCCUCCGGGCUGGAAGUGCAGCCCAGGACUUGCCUCCACUCUCCUGGCAGCCCUGCUGGGCUGGGUGGGUGAGUGGGGCUGAGUGUGUUAACGGGGCUGCUGGCCAGUGGAGGAGGGUGUGCCUGUAGUCUAGGGGUGGGAACUUGGGACCCCCAGAAGCUUUUUCUCAUCUUGCAAAGUGAGCUCCUGGUGGCUGUGAACCGGCUGUCUCGGCCCAGCUGUGUGUCCUGGAAGGUCUGUUCAUGGCUCAGGCCUCAGGAGGUCCCUUCCUCCAUCCUCCCACAGUAAGUCAUGCUGUUGCUGGUUCAGUCACACCUGGUUUCCUGAAGGUGUCACUCAAUGCCUGCAUCUGGCAUUGAGCCCAGCUCUCUUAGAAGGUUCCUGGGCUCCCACCAGCCUGCCCAAGAUCCCACCUUGGGCUUAUGGUGGCUUCCUUUCAAGUGGCAGGUCAGGAUGAAUAAGGCUUUUCAUUCCUUCAAACUCUGGUUCCAGCCCUGGUUCUGAAACUCUUUCACAUGGCUCCACUUCCUCACUGGUCAAGUGGGGAUUAUAAAUUCCUGGUCACAGUGCUGGUGCAAAGACCCACUGGGGGUAAUGCCUGUGGGGGCUUGGAAUGUGGUAGAGUGGGGGCACCCUUCUCUCCAGGGCAGGGUGGGCAGGAAGUCCUGCCUCCACUUUGUGCUCUGUGACUUUGGGUUCAUGGUCAACCUCUCUGAGCCUCUGUUUCCUCAUCUGUAAAUGGAGAUGUUGUGAUGGUGAAAUAAAAGCAAAGACAAGUCUUUGCUCAAAAUUUGUUUCCUCAAUGAGGCUUCCCUGGACAUCAUAUUUAAUUCUGAGCCCUGCCCCCGCCACACACAUCCUACUCCCCACCCCAGUAUUGUGUUUAAUGUAUUCAUACAUUGUGUUUAUAGUUUAUAGCCUGCCCCACUGGAAUGUCAGGUCCAUGAGGGCAGGAAUGCAAGUGGCUAAUAGAUGAGAUCAUCUCCCCCCACUUCCCUCCUUCCUUCUGUCUUCCUUACAAAUGCACAGUAUACCAGGACCGAUGCCAGACCCCUGGCAUUCCAGCAGCAAAGAAGGCAGACAAGGUCCCUGCCCUCAAACAGCCCUCAUCCAGCAGUCAGGACACACAUACACAGGC
Molecule: non-coding RNA, 5111 nt
Organism: Callithrix jacchus (white-tufted-ear marmoset)
Lineage: Eukaryota; Metazoa; Chordata; Mammalia; Primates; Cebidae
Source: RefSeq, a predicted model, not a curated record